GAUGAAGAACGUAGCGAAAUGCGAUAAGUAAUGUGAAUUGCAGAAUUCAGUGAAUCAUCUAAUCUUUGAACGCACCUUGCGCCCUUUGGCCAUUCCGAAGGGCAUGCCUGUUUGAGUAUCAUGAACACCUCAACUCUCAUGGCUUGCCAUGAUGAGCUUGGACUUUGGGGGUCUUGCUGGCCUGCGGUCAGCUCCUCUCAAAUGAAUUAGCUUUCCAGUGUUUGGUUGGCAUCACAGGUGUGAUAACUAUCUACGCUUGUGGUUUCCACCAGGUAACCUUCAGUAACAUGGGGGUUUGCUGGAGCUCAUAAAUGUCUCCCCUCAGUGGGGACAGCUCUUUGAACAUUUGAUCUCAAAUCAGGUAGGACUACCCGCUGAACUUAAGCAUAUCAAUAAGCGGAGGA
This 404-nucleotide unclassified non-coding RNA is filed under the name soil metagenome. RNAcentral describes it as "partial contains 5.8S ribosomal RNA, internal transcribed spacer 2, and large subunit ribosomal RNA". The stretch from base 1 to 121 matches the Rfam family "5.8S ribosomal RNA", at positions 35 to 154 of the family's 154-position model. The record is from RNAcentral.